UCAACCUCAUCAACCCUGUGAACAUACCUAAAACGUUGCCUCGGCGGGAACAGACGGCCCCGUAACACGGGCCGCCCCCGCCAGAGGACCCCCUAACUCUGUUUCUAUAAUGUUUUUUCUGAGUAAACAAGCAAAUAAAUCAAAACUUUCAACAACGGAUCUCUUGGCUCUGGCAUCGAUGAAGAACGCAGCGAAAUGCGAUAAGUAAUGUGAAUUGCAGAAUUCAGUGAAUCAUCGAAUCUUUGAACGCACAUUGCGCCCGCCAGUAUUCUGGCGGGCAUGCCUGUUCGAGCGUCAUUACAACCCUCAGACCCCCGGGUCUGGCGUUGGGGAUCGGCGGAAGCCCCCUGUGGGCACAACGCCGUCCCCCAAAUACAGUGGCGGUCCCGCCGCAGCUUCCAUUGCGUAGUAGCUAACACCUCGCAACUGGAGAGCGGCGCGGCCACGCCGUAAAACACCCAACUUCUGAAUGUUGACCUCGAAUCAGGUAGGAAUACCCGCUGAACUUAAGCAUAUCAAUAAGCGGAGGAA
RNAcentral lists this ribosomal RNA (531 nucleotides) under Fusarium solani. RNAcentral's name for it is "eukaryotic LSU rRNA". The stretch from base 144 to 297 matches the Rfam family "5.8S ribosomal RNA". Lineage: Eukaryota; Fungi; Ascomycota; Sordariomycetes; Hypocreales; Nectriaceae. The record is from RNAcentral.